AGAAUCUGUCCUUCCAGGGAACACCUAAGUUUAAGGGUCCCUAGAAGAAUAGGUUCAGGUCUGCUGACCAGAACAGGGUUCGGGAGUUCGGUUACGUGUGAGGAAGGUUAUAGCACCCUCACAACGCCCAUCAAAAGAUGGUACCAGCUUGAAUUUGUGUUAUCCAAAAGCCUUAAAAUUUUAUCAAGUAGUUAGUUGUUGAAAAUUAUUCUCAAUUGACUCUAAUACUUUUAGCAGAAAAUUGAGAAAAUUCCCUCACCUCAGGAG
RNAcentral lists this long non-coding RNA (267 nucleotides) under Durio zibethinus. RNAcentral's name for it is "long non-coding RNA (DZIB_LNC001508)". Lineage: Eukaryota; Viridiplantae; Streptophyta; Magnoliopsida; Malvales; Malvaceae. The record is from RNAcentral.